RNAcentral lists this ribosomal RNA (471 nucleotides) under uncultured Pseudomonas sp. RNAcentral describes it as "bacterial SSU rRNA". It matches the Rfam family "Bacterial small subunit ribosomal RNA", at positions 55 to 521 of the family's 1533-position model. Lineage: Bacteria; Pseudomonadati; Pseudomonadota; Gammaproteobacteria; Pseudomonadales; Pseudomonadaceae. The record is from RNAcentral.
AUGCAAGUCGAGCGGAUGACGGGAGCUUGCUCCUUGAUUCAGCGGCGGACGGGUGAGUAAUGCCUAGGAAUCUGCCUGGUAGUGGGGGACAACGUUUCGAAAGGAACGCUAAUACCGCAUACGUCCUACGGGAGAAAGCAGGGGACCUUCGGGCCUUGCGCUAUCAGAUGAGCCUAGGUCGGAUUAGCUAGUUGGUGGGGUAAUGGCUCACCAAGGCGACGAUCCGUAACUGGUCUGAGAGGAUGAUCAGUCACACUGGAACUGAGACACGGUCCAGACUCCUACGGGAGGCAGCAGUGGGGAAUAUUGGACAAUGGGCGAAAGCCUGAUCCAGCCAUGCCGCGUGUGUGAAGAAGGUCUUCGGAUUGUAAAGCACUUUAAGUUGGGAGGAAGGGCAGUAAGCUAAUACCUUGCUGUUUUGACGUUACCGACAGAAUAAGCACCGGCUAACUCUGUGCCAGCAGCCGCGGU